Molecule: ribosomal RNA, 428 nt
Filed under: Bacteroidota bacterium
Lineage: Bacteria; Pseudomonadati; Bacteroidota
Description: Bacteroidetes bacterium partial 16S ribosomal RNA
Rfam family: Bacterial small subunit ribosomal RNA
Source: RNAcentral
UAGGGAAUCUUCCGCAAUGGACGCAAGUCUGACGGAGCAACGCCGCGUGAGUGAAGAAGGAUUUCGGUUCGUAAAACUCUGUUGUUAGAGAAGAACAGCGCAUAGAGUAACUGUUAUGCGUGUGACGGUAUCUAACCAGAAAGCCACGGCUAACUACGUGCCAGCAGCCGCGGUAAUACGUAGGUGGCAAGCGUUGUCCGGAUUUAUUGGGCGUAAAGCGAGCGCAGGCGGUUAGAAAAGUCUGAAGUGAAAGGCAGUGGCUCAACCAUUGUAGGCUUUGGAAACUGUUUAACUUGAGUGCAGAAGGGGAGAGUGGAAUUCCAUGUGUAGCGGUGAAAUGCGUAGAUAUAUGGAGGAACACCGGUGGCGGAAGCGGCUCUCUGGUCUGUAACUGACGCUGAGGCUCGAAAGCGUGGGGAGCGAACAGG